RNAcentral lists this ribosomal RNA (525 nucleotides) under Bifidobacterium catenulatum. Its description in RNAcentral is "bacterial SSU rRNA". It matches the Rfam family "Bacterial small subunit ribosomal RNA", at positions 161 to 698 of the family's 1533-position model. RNAcentral also lists the same sequence under 1 other name. The record is from RNAcentral. Lineage: Bacteria; Bacillati; Actinomycetota; Actinomycetes; Bifidobacteriales; Bifidobacteriaceae.
UGGUAAUGCCGGAUGCUCCGACUCCUCGCAUGGGGUGUCGGGAAAGAUUUCAUCGGUAUGGGAUGGGGUCGCGUCCUAUCAGGUAGUCGGCGGGGUAACGGCCCACCGAGCCUACGACGGGUAGCCGGCCUGAGAGGGCGACCGGCCACAUUGGGACUGAGAUACGGCCCAGACUCCUACGGGAGGCAGCAGUGGGGAAUAUUGCACAAUGGGCGCAAGCCUGAUGCAGCGACGCCGCGUGCGGGAUGACGGCCUUCGGGUUGUAAACCGCUUUUGAUCGGGAGCAAGCCUUCGGGUGAGUGUACCUUUCGAAUAAGCACCGGCUAACUACGUGCCAGCAGCCGCGGUAAUACGUAGGGUGCAAGCGUUAUCCGGAAUUAUUGGGCGUAAAGGGCUCGUAGGCGGUUCGUCGCGUCCGGUGUGAAAGUCCAUCGCUUAACGGUGGAUCUGCGCCGGGUACGGGCGGGCUGGAGUGCGGUAGGGGAGACUGGAAUUCCCGGUGUAACGGUGGAAUGUGUAGAUAUC